UCCAAUCUAAAGAGUAUGUAUGAUUUUGGUUGACCAAUAUGAGAGAAUAAAAAGGUUGUCUUAAAAGGUCACAAAAAUGGAUGUACAAUAUUACUACAUUUUUCAUUAUUACCACUUAAAAAUUAAAAACCACUUCGAGUUUGAUCUCAAUUCAAACAAUCUGUGAAAAUGUGAUGCGUUUCAACGGAUUUGUUUCCCUCUCAGUAUAAAUUGGAAGAAUAAAGUAAAACCAAAUCUAAGCAACAAAUGAAAAUAUAAAAGAAAAAAAUGUUAAAAAGUAAAAUAGCAACAUAAGAAAUCACAAAAAAAAAAAAAAAAAGAAGAAUAUAAAUAUGAAUCAGUAGAUAGAAAAAGUAGUGAGUAUUAACUAUUAAGGUAUUAAAAUGAAAUAGAAGGGAGUAGAAAGUUGCGAUAUUUUAAUGUAGUAACAACAAUCCUUCAUAUACCUUUUAAUUGAUGCAUUUCUUCUUUUCGUUUGAUUGGGUUCCAUGUCCAAAAUAAAAAUUCGGUCGAAAACAAAGAAC
Molecule: long non-coding RNA, 524 nt
Filed under: Medicago truncatula (barrel medic)
Lineage: Eukaryota; Viridiplantae; Streptophyta; Magnoliopsida; Fabales; Fabaceae
Description: long non-coding RNA (MTRU_LNC004916)
Source: RNAcentral